RNAcentral lists this ribosomal RNA (430 nucleotides) under Bacillota bacterium. RNAcentral's name for it is "Firmicutes bacterium partial 16S ribosomal RNA". It matches the Rfam family "Bacterial small subunit ribosomal RNA", at positions 355 to 776 of the family's 1533-position model. Lineage: Bacteria; Bacillati; Bacillota. The record is from RNAcentral.
UAGGGAAUCUUCCGCAAUGGACGAAAGUCUGACGGAGCAACGCCGCGUGAGCGAAGAAGGUCCUCGGAUCGUAAAGCUCUGUUGUCAGGGAAGAACAAGUACCGUUCGAACAGGGCGGUACCUUGACGGUACCUGACGAGGAAGCCACGGCUAAUUACGUGCCAGCAGCCGCGGUAAUACGUAGGUGGCAAGCGUUGUCCGGAAUUAUUGGGCGUAAAGCGCGCGCAGGCGGGUCCUUAAGUCUGAUGUGAAAUCUCGCGGCUCAACCGCGAACGGCCAUUGGAAACUGGGGAACUUGAGUGCAGGAGAGGGGAGCGGAAUUCCACGUGUAGCGGUGAAAUGCGUAGAGAUGUGGAGGAACACCAGUGGCGAAGGCGGCUCUCUGGUCUGUAACUGACGCUGAGGCGCGAAAGCGUGGGGAGCAAACAGG